GACAGGCUCUUUUGUUCUGGUUCCUAAUGGAGUGGCUUCGGCUGUUCUUUCUCCAUCCUGUAUCAUUUUACCAGGGGGCUGCAUUUCCCUUUGCACUUCUCUUCAAUUAUCUCUGCAUCAUGGAUUCAUUCUCCACUCGUGCCAGGUACCUCUUUCUCCUGGCUGGAGGAGGUGCCCUGGCCGUGGCUGCCAUGGGUUCCUACGCCGUGCUCGUCUUCACCCCUGCUGUCUGCGCCGUGGCUCUCCUCUGUUCCCUGGCCCCUCAGCAAGUCCACAGGUGGACCUUCUGCUUUCAGAUGAGCUGGCAGACCUUGUGUCACCUAGGUCUGCACUACACUGAGUAUUAUCUGCAU
Molecule: long non-coding RNA, 353 nt
Filed under: Pan troglodytes (chimpanzee)
Lineage: Eukaryota; Metazoa; Chordata; Mammalia; Primates; Hominidae
Description: long non-coding RNA NONPTRT017020
Source: RNAcentral